UGCAAUCCUGUCCAGAUAUGAGUGUGCAAUAUACCUUCUAAAGCUAAGUGUUAAAAGAUUUUGCUUCAGUCAGUGUACUACUGCUCAUCAUAACCACAGUUCAAGGAAAAUUGUAUAUUUUAAUCUAAUUUUGAUUUUGAUGUUUUUCAGGAACCAGCCAAUUGAACUCAGAAUCGCUGAGAAGAUCAAGUGGGCUACAACAAUACAGAUGACAACCUGGAUACCAGCUUACGUGCUGAUCUCUUUCCUUUCAUACCCAGAGGAUGGGACCAAAUGUCUAUGACAAUGCUGAAGAAUAAAGAAGCAGAGGAAGAAUCUCACUGAGGAUAUCCAGCCUGUAUGCAGUGUCGGAUCCAGUGGCUAGAUGGCGGGAGAUGCUUCAUUACACCACAUUGCAUCAUCAUUUAAUGCAUUAUUAAUUAAUUUGAAUAUAUAUAUAUAAAUGGUUUUACUAUCAUAUUAAAUAAAUACUUACAAUUUCUAGAUAUAUUAAUAUACCAUAUAUUAGCUUAAAUAAGAAAGUUAUUAUAAUGUGUACGCCGUGCCAGAGGAGGAUGGGUUCCCCCUGCUGAGUCUGGUUCCUCUCGAGGUUUUUUUUUAAUCUCCCUUAAGGAGUUUUUUCCUUGCCACUGUCGCCAUUGGCUUGCUCACUGGGGGUGUUGUGCCAGGUCUUGUCCCUCCCGGGUCCCUACCAACCAGGGUUUCCAAAACAACGGUUUGCGAAUUGACUAACAUUUUAUUAUUAUUUAAAUCAUCAAAAUGUAAAGUAAAUUAAUUUGAAAUCAAAUUAAAUCAUGUAAUAGCUUAGUCAUUUAAAAUAAAGCAGUGAGCCCUGUGAAGACAUUAUAUAUAGUGAUUUCAGAACAGCUAAGGGGCUUUGUUAAAAUGUUAUGAAAUCAGUGUAAAUCAUGACUUCACUGGGGUUAUGGGCUUAUUUCUUUCAGAAAUACAUACGCGGCAAUACACCAAAUCAUCGACAGUAAAACAGUAUUUUAAAAUGUACUUUUGUGAGUAGAAACUUUUACAAGUAUUCUGCCAAAAUUAAAGCUUGAGGGUUAGAAAUAAUAAAAGUGAAAAAUGUAAAACAAGCAAUUUGAAAGUGAAGAAUUUACAACAUAAAUGUUAGUAUAUUGUGUAAAAUAAGUAAUCAGAUAAGCUGUGUUAUCAAAUAUUAAUUGCCAUAGGGAUGCAUUUCUGUUUUAAUUUGUAUAAUCUUAAAGGUAAUGCUGUAAAAAUAAGUUUAAUAUGAAGUAUAUCUAAUAACUAGUACAACCCAAUUUGAUCUAAUCCAUUUGCUGGGUGGGAUUUGGCACAACAGGCGUUUUUCGAAAUCUUUUAA
Molecule: long non-coding RNA, 1339 nt
Organism: Xyrauchen texanus (razorback sucker)
Lineage: Eukaryota; Metazoa; Chordata; Actinopteri; Cypriniformes; Catostomidae
Exons: 3
Source: RefSeq, a predicted model, not a curated record